AUCUAUUUUUACUUGUUCAGCAAUCCCAUGAAACAAGUAGAACAAGCAAUUAUUUUAUCCUUUCUGAAGGUAAGAAAACCCAAUCAGUGUGGUUGCUAUGCUUAUUCAGAGUUUUCUCAGUUUUAUCCUUACUACUUAAAUAUAUUAUUCCUUAAGUUUUUCCUUUAAAAAUAUAUAGGAUUUUAUAACUGGUAGAAUCAUUUGUUGAUUUAGAUUGUAGAUACACUCCUGAAAUUAUCUCUCAGCCUGACGUAGAUUUUACAUGAAUAAGGUGGUUUUUGUUUUGUCCUUUAGUGAAUCAUUUUGCAAAUGAAAAAUAUCUAUUUUUGUUUGAUUUUUUUUUUUUCUUUGAGACAGAGUCUUGCUGUCUCACCAGGCUGGAGUGCAGUGGUGCAAUCUCGGCUCACUACAACCUCUGCCUCCCGGGUUCAAGCGAUUCUCCUGCCUCAGCCUCCCAAGUAGCUGGGACUACAGGCACGUGCGCCAUCACACCCACCUAAUUUUUGUAUUUUUAGUAGAGAUGGGGCUUCACCAUGUUGGCCAGGAUGGUCUCAAUCUCUUGACCUCGUGAUCCUCCCACCUUGGACUCCCAAAGUACUGGGAUUACAGGCAUGAGCCACCGCACCUGGCCUGUUGGAUUUUUUUUAUAAUCUUGGUUAAUUUAAAGCAAAACAUUUUCUUAAAUGCCUCAUCAUAUAAAAUGUUAUUAGGACCAUGUGAGGGUAGGCAGUCUGUCAUAGGGGACUCGUUAAAUACUAGUUUUAUUACUUAUUGUGAAUCCUAGGGCAUAUUAGUAAACCUCUAUCAACCUUGCUCUCCUCUACUUCAGUUUGAUAUAAUAGUAGUCUUAAUUCACAGUUAUUAUUGAGUGUCAAGUGAGAUGACUGCAAAGCAUUUACAACAGUCCCUGGCACUAAUAACUACCUGAGAUAUUAUCAGCUAUUAUUAGAUUUGUAUUUUCUAUUGUAGGAAAUUUAUAACUAUAUAAGUAAUGCAGUUUUAAAGACAAAGAGUCAAAAGGAAAUGAAUUAACAUUUACUUGUGAAUUUUGCAUCAAAUAAUUUCUGUAAGUUUAAUAGCACAAAUAUGAUUUACAUUUAGAUACAUACAUAAAAUGUAAUUAAGAAAUAGGGAAUAGUUCCUACGCUAAAGUAUUUUUCUUCUUAAAAAUAUAUGUUCUUUAGAUAAUCAAAGGGUUUUAUACUCACUUAAUGCUUAAUUAUGAUGAUAUUAAAAAUCAUUUUUUCUGUUUAAGAAAGUCUUAUAUUAUUGUUCUAAAAUCAUUUCCUAUGAGGAGUCAAGAAGAUAUUGAAACUUAUUUGAUUCUGUUAGAAUGUUCAAAAAAAUUUGUCUUUUUCAUUCGUUGCCAAUACAGUCUCUGAAGAAAAUAAACAUUGUAUUAUGGUGGGACAAAUGUUUUAAUUUAUGUUAAGUGUUUACAUAAUACAAACGUCUGGUGUCUAUAGAAUGAUCAAAGUAUUGAAGUUUAAGUUCAUUUUCAUAGAAAGUCCAAUCAGCAGCAUAUCUCCAUCUCUAUCUAAAAAGAUAUUAUAGACAUAAGUAUAUUCUUCUUAGUGCACUGGAGCUCUUGUUAGAUAAUGUAUCAAGAUGAUAAAGUGCUUUUUCAAGAAAUUUAUUGAAUUACUUUGGUAUAUAAUAUAAUUUACCCAAAUACAGCAUUCAUGACGUCUACUUCAUACCCUUCACCAUUCAGCUAUAUUUUUUCCCCUUUAAUCUCUUCUACAUGCAUUUCAUUAGUAAUAAAGGAAUCUUCCAAAAUUUAUUCCAUGGAUCCAUUUUAGAUAAACAAGAGUUAGAACUGAUUUUACCAAAUUUAGAUUUCUAUUCUAAUUUUUUAUUCUUAGUGGUCUAUGAAAACAGUGUUUAUUAAUUUACUUUAUUUUUUAGGCAAGCCAAAUUAGAGCUGAGAGUUGCUGUAGCAAAAGUGGAAGAGUUAACUAAUGUGACUGAAGAUCUGCAGGGACAGAUGAAAAAGAAGAUUAUGUGUGACAAUCCAAGAAGCCAACCAAUUAAGAACCGAAAAUACACAUCUGGAAAAACAGACCAGAGAGCUACAAGCAAAGUGCAAUGAAUUAGAAAGUGAGAGAUACGAGGCUAUUGUAAGAGCCAGAAAUAGCAUGCAACUCUUAGAAGAAGCUAACCUUCAAAAAAGUCAGGCUCUACUUGAGGAAAAGCAAAAAGAAGAAGACAUAGAGAAAAUGAAAGAGACAGUUUCUCGGUUUGUACAAGAUGCUACCAUAAGAACCAAGAAAGAAGUUGCAAACACCAAAAAACAAUGUAAUAUACAAAUUUCUCGAUUAACAGAAGAACUUUCAGCCCUUCAAAUGGAGUGUGCUGAAAAACAAGGCCAAAUUGAACGAAUCAUUAAGGAAAAAAAAGCAGUGGAAGAAGAACUAGAAAAGAUUUACCGUGAAGGCAGAGGAAAUGAGAGUGAUUACAGAAAACUGGAAGAAAUGCACCAAAGAUUCCUGGUUUCAGAGCGUUCAAAAGAUGAUCUUCAGCUAAGACUUACGAGAGCAGAAAAUAGAAUAAAACAACUUGAAACUGACUCCUCAGAAGAAAUAUCACGUUACCAAGAAAUGAUUCAGAAACUUCAAAAUGUAUUGGAGUCUGAGAGAGAGAACUGUGGGCUUGUCAGUGAACAAAGGCUAAAACUUCAGCAAGAAAAUAAACAGUUACGGAAAGAGACUGAGAGUUUAAGGAAGAUUGCCCUGGAGGCUCAAAAAAAAGCCAAAGUAAAGAUCACUACAAUGGAACAUGAAUUUUCAAUAAAGGAACGUGGGUUUGAAGUUCAAUUGAGAGAGAUGGAAGACAGUAAUAGAAAUUCCAUUGUUGAACUGAGGCAUCUCCUAGCGACUCAACAGAAGGCAGCCAAUAGGUGGAAAGAAGAAACGAAGAAACUUACUGAAAGUGCAGAAAGUAGAAUCAGUAAUCUAAAGACUGAGCUGAGUCGACAGAAACUUCAUACCCAAGAGCUGCUUUCUCAGCUGGAAAUGGCAAAUGAAAAGGUAGCUGAGAAUGAAAAGCUAAUUCUAGAGCAUCAAGAAAAAGCCAACAGACUUCAAAGGCGUCUAAGUCAGGCAGAAGAGAGAGCUGCUUCAGCUUCCCAGCAGCUCAGUGUGAUUACAGUGCAGAGAAGAAAAGCAGCCUCCCUGAUGAAUCUGGAAAAUAUUUAAAAAUAUUCAUAGUUCACUCACAGAACUUUAGAGUUGGGAAAGCAGUUGGACUAGAAGUGUGUUGAAAUGGUAAAGCCUGCAAAGUAUAAUAGUUAAGGCUUGUGUAAUUUUGCAUUGUUGUUCUGUUUUGAGGGUUAUUGGAAAACAGAGCAGUGACCACUUCCUGUAAGUAAAGAAAAUAUAAUCCUCUAUUGAGCUUCAGUGGAGAAUAAACCAGCUGAGAAGAACUCAUUGCCUUCAUCAACGUGUCUGUUUUUUAAUUCCUCCUUUUUCCCUUGAAAGGACAUAAUAAUUUUCAAACUAUGCAAAUUUCUCUUUCAUAAGAAAGUUUUUAAGAAAAUUCUAGAAUUUAAUAUUUCAGUUUCCAAGAUUUGAGAAUUUUACAUCUAAUUGUUACUUCUAACUCAUUUUUAAAGUUCCUAAGUAUCCAUUUUAUUAUGAACUCAUAAAUGUAAUAAAUUGUGCACUUUCU
Molecule: small RNA, 3669 nt
Filed under: Pongo abelii (Sumatran orangutan)
Lineage: Eukaryota; Metazoa; Chordata; Mammalia; Primates; Hominidae
Description: retained intron
Source: RNAcentral